UACGUAGGGCGCAAGCGUUGUCCGGAAUUAUUGGGCGUAAAGAGCUCGUAGGCGGCUUGUCACGUCGGUUGUGAAAGCCCGGGGCUUAACCCCGGGUCUGCAGUCGAUACGGGCUAGCUAGAGUGUGGUAGGGGAGAUCGGAAUUCCUGGUGUAGCGGUGAAAUGCGCAGAUAUCAGGAGGAACACCGGUGGCGAAGGCGGAUCUCUGGGCCAUUACUGACGCUGAGGCACGAAAGCGUGGGGAGCAAACAGG
This 253-nucleotide ribosomal RNA is filed under the name uncultured bacterium. Its description in RNAcentral is "partial 16S ribosomal RNA". It matches the Rfam family "Bacterial small subunit ribosomal RNA", at positions 524 to 776 of the family's 1533-position model. The record is from RNAcentral.